Molecule: long non-coding RNA, 1338 nt
Filed under: Sus scrofa (pig)
Lineage: Eukaryota; Metazoa; Chordata; Mammalia; Artiodactyla; Suidae
Description: lncRNA (ENSSSCG00070002541.1)
Source: RNAcentral
UUCGCGGGAGGGGACAGCUCCUCCCAGACGGAAGCCGCGAGCCCUUUUCCGCAACACCGACUCGGCGCGCUGUCGUCCUACGAGUCCCGGGCAGUUUCAGUGGAAGAAUUACUUUGCUGCUGACGUUGAGAAAGAGCACAUGGCAGGUAGACACAAUACUGGCUCUCCAAAUUACCCCCAAAUAAAUAAACAGAAGGCCACAGGCACCCGAGGGAUAUAUAGGGAAGAGAAAAAGGCGAGGGUGAGGUCACAGCUGCGGCCAGGAAGGGGGGAGCCGUCGGGGGAGAUGCGCUCUCGUUCCCUCUCCAGGUCAUUCAGCAUUUGCAAGCCGUAAAUGAAAUCAUCCCAAUUUGUUUUCUCGUGAAAAUGUCAGCUUGGGCGCUUAGAGGGAGUAAUUCUUUUCUUAUGGCCCGAAAAAAGAAACGCUUUUUAUUUUGUUGCCCUCGAGACAAAAGAGGCUUUUUGUUCCCGUUCCAUGUUUCCAGAUUGCUGGUGUUCCUCAGAUUCACGUACUCGGAGGGUGGCCAUAAAUUUUCAGGUGGAGCAAUGAGAUGCUGACACGCGUGUCUGCUUUAAGCCAGAGCUGUCACCAGCAACCUGCCAGGAUGGGCUUCUUGGCUUCCCCUGCGCCUGCUCCCCAGCUCCUGCAUCGGUGUGCAACGCAAUGUUGGCGAGAGUUGCUUCCACCUCACCGUCGCUGGAAGCUGCCUUGCAGAGCGGAUGCUGCGAGAGGAGCAAAGGAAAGUCUCCCCUGAAUUGGCCUCGAAGCGCAGGGAGACUAGAAAGUGGGAGAGACCGCAGUUAAAAAAGUGCCACAUGCAAGGAGGUAGGUGAUCUCCGAUGUAACCUUCGCACAUCUGCUUCGCCUUUGCGGUUUGGUGGCGGCCCGGGUGCUGAUGCUGGGGUCUGCAUGUCGUAACUACUCAGUAUUGUCUCCAUCAGAAAACAAGCCCUUCCCACCCUACUGUCUUCUUUGGGCUCUGUCCUUCCUGCUGUGAGUCAAGAAAAGCGGGAGGCUUCUAGGGACUGCUUGCUACUGGCCUGGAAUGUGCAAUUGCAUUGGAGAUGAACAGUCAUGGUAACCUUUCAAACUUGAUAACAGCUCCCCCCCAGUUCGGGCGCCUUGCCCCCUCUCACCAGGGUGGCAUUUUGAUAACUUCAUUCCAGGUGGUCCACUCACUUCUUUCCACUUAGAGGCCUAUCAGGGACCAUGUGGGAUGGGUUCUUACCUGGAGGGAUGGGGGAGUGAGUUGCAGCUGUGACCUCUGCGCCCAAUUCAACGAUAUUUGUCGCAGGUGGGGCCUCUGGCUAAUCCUGUCUUGUUUUCAUGGUCUCCUG